ACGACUGUUGUGCGGACUGGACCGAAGA
Molecule: small RNA, 28 nt
Filed under: Bombyx mori (domestic silkworm)
Lineage: Eukaryota; Metazoa; Arthropoda; Insecta; Lepidoptera; Bombycidae
Description: ovarian small RNA-11435
Source: RNAcentral